AUUUCUUCGGACUACUUACAAGGUGCUGCAUGGCUGUCGUCAGCUCGUGUCGUGAGAUGUUGGGUUAAGUCCCGCAACGAGCGCAACCCUUAUCCCUAGUUGCCAUCAGGUAAAGCUGGGAACUCUGGGGAGACUGCCGGUGAUAAACCGGAGGAAGGCGGGGAUGACGUCAAGUCCUCAUGGCCCUUACAUCCCGGGCUACACACGUGCUACAAUGGCAGGUACAGAGGGCUGCGAAGCCGCGAGGUGGAGCGAAUCCCAGAAAACCUGUCUCAGUCCGGAUUGAAGUCUGCAACUCGACUUCGUGAAGGCGGAAUCGCUAGUAACCGCGAAUCAGCAGGUCGCGGUGAAUACGUUCCCGGGCCUU
RNAcentral lists this ribosomal RNA (367 nucleotides) under uncultured Latescibacterota bacterium. RNAcentral's name for it is "bacterial SSU rRNA". It matches the Rfam family "Bacterial small subunit ribosomal RNA", at positions 1012 to 1382 of the family's 1533-position model. Lineage: Bacteria; Pseudomonadati; Candidatus Latescibacterota. The record is from RNAcentral.